This is a long non-coding RNA of Zonotrichia leucophrys gambelii, 665 nucleotides long. RefSeq lists it as uncharacterized. Lineage: Eukaryota; Metazoa; Chordata; Aves; Passeriformes; Passerellidae. The record is from RefSeq and is a predicted model, not a curated record. The transcript has 6 exons.
UCAUGGUGACCAGAGAGUGCUGGCACCUGCAUGGACAUGCUAUGUGUACAAAAGCCACAGCCUGGACUCCUGAGCAGCAGCAGCAGUUCCCUUCCCUUCACUGGAUACUUUCCCACUGCUUUUAGUGUCCAUCCUGGGAUGGAUUGAAUUCAGGAACCAAGCAGGAAAAUUUUCUGGACUGCCUUUAACCUAAGCCAGUGAUGCAGAGCUGAAAGAUUUUGAGCACUUCCACCUUCUAGCCUAAGCCUUCUACAGACAGUGGGAAGUAAGCAUCUAUGUUUCGGACUGCUGGAAUCAGGUAUGAUCACAAUCCUUUCUUGAUGCUACAGCUAGUAAUUACCACUGGGAAGUAAUGAGUGCAUGAGCAAGGGUGAACAGAAAGGCACAGAUUGAGUGGAGGGCAGAUAAAGCAGCUGCAGAAGAAAAAAAAACCUACUCAUUCCAAAGAGGCCAAAUGUUGAAGUGAGGCCACUUUCAUCCUAAGUGAAAAUAUGGCUCAACUAGAAAAGAACCAGCAUUUUUUCCACAGGAUGGAAGGACUGGCCUGGAAAAAAAAUAGAGGACAGGAUGACUUCUAUGUCAUAACAAACCAAACCUGAAUCUGAUUUUGAUGACAGAUAAAAUACAUGAGAUUUGAAUCUUGUUAAAACUCACCAAAAAUAAAG